RNAcentral lists this ribosomal RNA (1542 nucleotides) under Pantoea dispersa. RNAcentral's name for it is "bacterial SSU rRNA". It matches the Rfam family "Bacterial small subunit ribosomal RNA". Lineage: Bacteria; Pseudomonadati; Pseudomonadota; Gammaproteobacteria; Enterobacterales; Erwiniaceae. The record is from RNAcentral.
AAAUUGAAGAGUUUGAUCAUGGCUCAGAUUGAACGCUGGCGGCAGGCCUAACACAUGCAAGUCGAACGGCAGCACAGAAGAGCUUGCUCUUUGGGUGGCGAGUGGCGGACGGGUGAGUAAUGUCUGGGAAACUGCCCGGUGGAGGGGGAUAACUACUGGAAACGGUAGCUAAUACCGCAUAACGUCGCAAGACCAAAGUGGGGGACCUUCGGGCCUCACACCAUCGGAUGUGCCCAGAUGGGAUUAGCUAGUAGGUGGGGUAAUGGCUCACCUAGGCGACGAUCCCUAGCUGGUCUGAGAGGAUGACCAGCCACACUGGAACUGAGACACGGUCCAGACUCCUACGGGAGGCAGCAGUGGGGAAUAUUGCACAAUGGGCGCAAGCCUGAUGCAGCCAUGCCGCGUGUAUGAAGAAGGCCUUCGGGUUGUAAAGUACUUUCAGCGGGGAGGAAGGCGGUGAGGUUAAUAACCUCGCCGAUUGACGUUACCCGCAGAAGAAGCACCGGCUAACUCCGUGCCAGCAGCCGCGGUAAUACGGAGGGUGCAAGCGUUAAUCGGAAUUACUGGGCGUAAAGCGCACGCAGGCGGUCUGUUAAGUCAGAUGUGAAAUCCCCGGGCUUAACCUGGGAACUGCAUUUGAAACUGGCAGGCUUGAGUCUCGUAGAGGGGGGUAGAAUUCCAGGUGUAGCGGUGAAAUGCGUAGAGAUCUGGAGGAAUACCGGUGGCGAAGGCGGCCCCCUGGACGAAGACUGACGCUCAGGUGCGAAAGCGUGGGGAGCAAACAGGAUUAGAUACCCUGGUAGUCCACGCCGUAAACGAUGUCGACUUGGAGGUUGUGCCCUUGAGGCGUGGCUUCCGGAGCUAACGCGUUAAGUCGACCGCCUGGGGAGUACGGCCGCAAGGUUAAAACUCAAAUGAAUUGACGGGGGCCCGCACAAGCGGUGGAGCAUGUGGUUUAAUUCGAUGCAACGCGAAGAACCUUACCUGGCCUUGACAUCCAGAGAACUUAGCAGAGAUGCUUUGGUGCCUUCGGGAACUCUGAGACAGGUGCUGCAUGGCUGUCGUCAGCUCGUGUUGUGAAAUGUUGGGUUAAGUCCCGCAACGAGCGCAACCCUUAUCCUUUGUUGCCAGCGGUUCGGCCGGGAACUCAAAGGAGACUGCCGGUGAUAAACCGGAGGAAGGUGGGGAUGACGUCAAGUCAUCAUGGCCCUUACGGCCAGGGCUACACACGUGCUACAAUGGCGCAUACAAAGAGAAGCGACCUCGCGAGAGCAAGCGGACCUCAUAAAGUGCGUCGUAGUCCGGAUUGGAGUCUGCAACUCGACUCCAUGAAGUCGGAAUCGCUAGUAAUCGUAGAUCAGAAUGCUACGGUGAAUACGUUCCCGGGCCUUGUACACACCGCCCGUCACACCAUGGGAGUGGGUUGCAAAAGAAGUAGGUAGCUUAACCUUCGGGAGGGCGCUUACCACUUUGUGAUUCAUGACUGGGGUGAAGUCGUAACAAGGUAACCGUAGGGGAACCUGCGGUUGGAUCACCUCCUUA